CGAUACUACACUCUCGGACCUUUCGUUUCGGCCAGCUUCUAAAUUUACAAAAUUCCAAAUUUUUUUUCGAAAUUAAUCUGGCCAAAUAAACGCUCGACGGACUCAAGAUGUGUGACGGAUGUGGAUCGCUGGAGCCGCGCGGAUGCCGCAGCCGGGAGUUGCGAUGCGGCAUCAUGUACACCACCUGCGACUGCGUGAAGCGGAACGGUCUGCAGGACAAGUGUCCGCGGUCCGCCUGCCAGGGCAGGCCGGCCUGCCUGUGCUUCCCGUUCCCCACCUGCGGACCGGCGGCAUUCCCGCUGCGCUACGCCAACAUGAUGAUGGGCGUGAACAACAAGCGGAUGCGCUGUGCCGCCACUGGAGCGCCCAACGGCGGUGCCGGAUGCGGCGGACGCGUCGCCGGCGGCUGCUGUGGAUGCGGUCCCUGCUGCUGAGCUUCAUGCCCUAAACGCUGAUCCGUCAACAAGGAUAGCAUGUCCUGUGUUUGGUGGGCGCAGGUGUAGGAUCUAUGGACCAAAUGCUGUUGCCAGGCCCCAAAUCCUUCAGUAUGACCUCCUUCCGCAUUCCGUCGCGUGUGGUUUCUAAGUAGUUCCUGGCAAGUGUUUCGAUCGGAUCCUGAUGGGCCACUUCCUUGGCGGGACAUGUUGUCGUUUUGUGGCGCACUUUUGGUUGAU
This 674-nucleotide unclassified non-coding RNA is filed under the name Drosophila erecta. Its description in RNAcentral is "GG23578". Lineage: Eukaryota; Metazoa; Arthropoda; Insecta; Diptera; Drosophilidae. The record is from RNAcentral.